GAUGAACGCUGGCGGCGUGCCUAAUACAUGCAAGUCGAGCGAACGGACGAGAAGCUUGCUUCUCUGAUGUUAGCGGCGGACGGGUGAGUAACACGUGGAUAACCUACCUAUAAGACUGGGAUAACUUCGGGAAACCGGAGCUAAUACCGGAUGAUAUUUUGAACCGCAUGGGUCAAAAGUGAAAGACGGUCUUGCUGUCACUUAUAGAUGGAUCCGCGCUGCAUUAGCUAGUUGGUAAGGUAACGGCUUACCAAGGCAACGAUGUAUAGCCGACCUGAGAGGGUGAUCGGCCACACUGGAACUGAGACACGGUCCAGACUCCUCCGGGAGGCAGCAGUAGGGAAUCUUCCGCAAUGGGCGAAAGCCUGACGGAGCAACGCCGCGUGAGUGAUGAAGGUCUUCGGAUCGUAAAACUCUGUUAUUAGGGAAGAACAUAUGUGUAAGUAACUGUGCACAUCUUGACGGUACCUAAUCAGAAAGCCACGGCUAACUACGUG
This 497-nucleotide ribosomal RNA is filed under the name uncultured bacterium. RNAcentral describes it as "partial 16S ribosomal RNA". It matches the Rfam family "Bacterial small subunit ribosomal RNA", at positions 28 to 507 of the family's 1533-position model. The record is from RNAcentral.